RNAcentral lists this ribosomal RNA (720 nucleotides) under uncultured bacterium. Its description in RNAcentral is "bacterial SSU rRNA". It matches the Rfam family "Bacterial small subunit ribosomal RNA", at positions 104 to 810 of the family's 1533-position model. The record is from RNAcentral.
GGGUGAGUAACACGUAGGUACCCUGCCCCGGAGCGGGGGAUAACAUUUGGAAACAGAUGCUAAUACCGCAUAACAACAAAAGCCACAUGGCUUUUGUUUGAAAGAUGGCUUUGGCUAUCACUCUGGGAUGGACCUGCGGUGCAUUAGCUAGUUGGUAAGGUAACGGCUUACCAAGGCGAUGAUGCAUAGCCGAGUUGAGAGACUGAUCGGCCACAAUGGAACUGAGACACGGUCCAUACUCCUACGGGAGGCAGCAGUAGGGAAUCUUCCACAAUGGGCGCAAGCCUGAUGGAGCAACACCGCGUGAGUGAAGAAGGGUUUCGGCUCGUAAAGCUCUGUUGUUGGAGAAGAACGUGCGUGAGAGUAACUGUUCACGCAGUGACGGUAUCCAACCAGAAAGUCACGGCUAACUACGUGCCAGCAGCCGCGGUAAUACGUAGGUGGCAAGCGUUAUCCGGAUUUAUUGGGCGUAAAGCGAGCGCAGGCGGUUGCUUAGGUCUGAUGUGAAAGCCUUCGGCUUAACCGAAGAAGUGCAUCGGAAACCGGGCGACUUGAGUGCAGAAGAGGACAGUGGAACUCCAUGUGUAGCGGUGGAAUGCGUAGAUAUAUGGAAGAACACCAGUGGCGAAGGCGGCUGUCUGGUCUGCAACUGACGCUGAGGCUCGAAAGCAUGGGUAGCGAACAGGAUUAGAUACCCUGGUAGUCCAUGCCGUAAACGAU